GAGAAUGGAGUUCAAUGCUAGAGCAUAUGCUUGGCAAGCACAAGGCACUGGGUUUGAUUCCCAGCAAAUACU
Molecule: transfer RNA, 72 nt
Filed under: Heterocephalus glaber (naked mole-rat)
Lineage: Eukaryota; Metazoa; Chordata; Mammalia; Rodentia; Bathyergidae
Rfam family: tRNA
About the family: Transfer RNA (tRNA) molecules are approximately 80 nucleotides in length. Their secondary structure includes four short double-helical elements and three loops (D, anti-codon, and T loops). Further hydrogen bonds mediate the characteristic L-shaped molecular structure. tRNAs have two regions of fundamental functional importance: the anti-codon, which is responsible for specific mRNA codon recognition, and the 3' end, to which the tRNAs corresponding amino acid is attached (by aminoacyl-tRNA synthetases). tRNAs cope with the degeneracy of the genetic code in two manners: having more than one tRNA (with a specific anti-codon) for a particular amino acid; and 'wobble' base-pairing, i.e. permitting non-standard base-pairing at the 3rd anti-codon position.
Source: Rfam by way of RNAcentral